AAGGGUGUGUAGGUGGUCUUGUUAGUCUCUCGUUAAAGCUCUCGGCUCAACCGGGAAAGUGCGAGGGAAACGGCAAGACUGUGAGGGUGUGAGAGGUUUGCGGAACUCUAGGUGUAGGGGUGAAAUCCGUUGAUAUCUAGGGGAACACCAAAAGCGAAGGCAGCAAACUGGCACAUUCCUGACACUGAAACACGAAAGCGUGGGGAGCAAAUGGGAUUAGAUACCCCAGUAGUCCACGCCCUAAACGAUGAUCUCUCGCUUUUCGGAGUAUCGACCCUCUGAGAGGCUUAGCUAACGCGUUAAGAGAUCCGCCUGGGUAGUACGACCGCAAGGUUAAAACUCAAAGGAAUAGACGGGGACUUGCACAAGCGGUGGAACAUGUGGUUCAAUUCGAUGGUAAACGAAGAACCUUACCAGGGUUAGAAAUCCAGACGAAUCCUAGAGGAAACUUUAGGAGUCUCACAAGGACGGCUGGACAGGUGCUGCAUGGCCGUCGUCAGUUCGUGGUUUGAAUUGUUCCCUUAAGUGGGGUAACGAACGCAACCCUCAUUGCCUGUUAUAUAUGUCAGGCGAGACUGCCCAGCCCUUUGAACCCGCCACGGGCGGAUUUAAAGGGCUGGGAGGAAGGUGAGGAUGACGCCAGGUCAGCAUGGCCCUCUGAUACCCUGGGCCACACACGUGUUACAAUGGCCGUUACAACGCGAUGCGACGGAGCAAUCCUGAGCUAAUCGUAAUAAAAACGGCCCCAGUUCGGAUUGGAGUCUGCAACUCGACUCCAUGAAGUUGGAAUCGCUAGUAAUCGCGG
RNAcentral lists this ribosomal RNA (805 nucleotides) under uncultured bacterium. RNAcentral describes it as "bacterial SSU rRNA". It matches the Rfam family "Bacterial small subunit ribosomal RNA", at positions 563 to 1347 of the family's 1533-position model. The record is from RNAcentral.